RNAcentral lists this ribosomal RNA (237 nucleotides) under uncultured bacterium. RNAcentral's name for it is "partial 16S ribosomal RNA". It matches the Rfam family "Bacterial small subunit ribosomal RNA", at positions 99 to 334 of the family's 1533-position model. The record is from RNAcentral.
CGAACGGGUGAGUAACGCGUGAGGAACCUGCCUCAAAGAGGGGGACAACAGUUGGAAACGACUGCUAAUACCGCAUAAGCCCACGGCUCGGCAUCGAGCAGAGGGAAAAGGAGCAAUCCGCUUUGAGAUGGCCUCGCGUCCGAUUAGCUAGUUGGUGAGGUAACGGCCCACCAAGGCGACGAUCGGUAGCCGGACUGGGAGGUUGAACGACCACAUUGGGACUGAGACACGGCCCAG